UGGGGGAUAUUGCACAAUGGGGGAAACCCUGAUGCAGCGACGCCGCGUGAGGGAAGACGGCCUUCGGGUUGUAAACCUCUGUCGCAGGGGACGAAGGAAGUGACGGUACCCUGUGAGGAAGCCACGGCUAACUACGUGCCAGCAGCCGCGGUAAUACGUAGGUGGCGAGCGUUGUCCGGAAUUACUGGGUGUAAAGGGAGCGUAGGCGGGAGUGCAAGUUGAAUGUAUAAACUAUCGGCUCAACUGAUAGAAGCGUUCAAAACUGCACUUCUUGAGUGAAGUAGAGGCAGGCGGAAUUCCUAGUGUAGCGGUGAAAUGCGUAGAUAUUAGGAGGAACACCAGUGGCGAAGGCGGCCUGCUGGGCUUUAACUGACGCUGAGGCUCGAAAGCGUGGGUAGCA
RNAcentral lists this ribosomal RNA (400 nucleotides) under uncultured bacterium. Its description in RNAcentral is "bacterial SSU rRNA". It matches the Rfam family "Bacterial small subunit ribosomal RNA", at positions 355 to 770 of the family's 1533-position model. The record is from RNAcentral.